This is a long non-coding RNA of Zonotrichia leucophrys gambelii, 719 nucleotides long. RefSeq lists it as uncharacterized. NCBI's taxonomy places the organism in Eukaryota, Metazoa, Chordata, Aves, Passeriformes, Passerellidae. The record is from RefSeq and is a predicted model, not a curated record. The transcript is spliced from 2 exons.
UCCCUCAGUGUCUGUUAUAAAUACAAGAGUGGGAGAAGUUUCAUUACAUUCAGAAUGAGCCCACAACACUCUGAAGCCUGUGUUGGUGUAUCUGCUACCACAAAGCUGAGUUCCUAGGGAAGAGCUGGACCUCUUCCAAGAAAGGCUUCAAUAACAUGGGAAAUGGAAGGCAGGAUGAAAAAUGCAACAACUGAGAGCAGACUGCAGAAGAUGGAUCAUCAGACAGUAUAAAUUCUGCUGGCACCCUGGAUGUUAAUGACUCAUCAGGCCCUUUUCUUCCUCCAGGCCCAGUUUGAGUGGAAUAUUGAUUGCUUUACCGUACUGUCACAAAAAUAACCCAAAACCCCGUUACUUUAAAAGCCCCAGGGAUUGAGCUGUAACUGGAGGAGCAGGACUGCAGAGCUGGCAUUGUGUCACACAUGUCAGAUGGUUGUAAAUGCAUCAGGCUGAGUGUCUGGCAGCACGUGGCAGCUGUCAAAACCAGGACAAUGUUUGUGUGCCUACAAGCUGUCUUCUCCAUUUGCCUUUUUGACUCCUGGAGGGGUGAGCAGAAACUGGAAUUCAGAGCAGGAGACUUGAGGCAAUGCCUCUGAUUCCUCCAUUUUCCCACCUUUGUGCAGGUAGUGCUGUAAGAGCUGAAGCACAUGAAGUGUUUGUGCAUUUUUGGAUGUACCAUUGAGAACACACCUCUUGACAGUAUUCACAGUCAGUGUUCAUCC